CCGCCGAACUUUGCGCGUUCGGUCCACGCUCAGGCGGAAGCGCAGCAGAGUCAGCGCCACGGCCACGCGCAUCUCGGCCAUGGCGAAGCUCUGUCCGAUGCAGUUCCUGGAGGAAGAACGACCCACCCAGCACAGGGUCUGGCACACAGUAGGAGCUCAAUAAUAUUUGUGGACUUAAUGAAUUCGCAUCGUGUGCCUCUUUGUGCUUCUGAAGUCUGCCUUGAGAUGGACAUGCCCAGAGUAGUUGCUGGUUCGAGGAGCAGGAAGAGCUAUGUGGAACAGACCCUAGCCCAAACCUCAGUUUGGAAGCAACCCCAUUCAAC
Long non-coding RNA from Myotis daubentonii (Daubenton's bat), 323 nucleotides. RefSeq lists it as uncharacterized. The record is from RefSeq and is a predicted model, not a curated record. NCBI's taxonomy places the organism in Eukaryota, Metazoa, Chordata, Mammalia, Chiroptera, Vespertilionidae.